Ixodes scapularis (black-legged tick) is the source of this 86-nucleotide non-coding RNA. The record is from Rfam. Lineage: Eukaryota; Metazoa; Arthropoda; Arachnida; Ixodida; Ixodidae.
GCAGUCGUGGCCGAGUGGUUAAGGCGAUCGACUAGAAAUCCAUUGGGGUCUGUCUGCCCGCACAUGUUCGAAUCCUGUCGACUGCG